GCCCGCUUAGCUCAGAGGUUAGAGCAUCGCAUUUGUAAUGCGAUGGUCAUCGGUUCGACCCCGAUAGCCGGCU
This 73-nucleotide transfer RNA is filed under the name Goeppertia roseopicta. RNAcentral's name for it is "tRNA-Thr". It matches the Rfam family "tRNA". Rfam says of the family: Transfer RNA (tRNA) molecules are approximately 80 nucleotides in length. Their secondary structure includes four short double-helical elements and three loops (D, anti-codon, and T loops). Lineage: Eukaryota; Viridiplantae; Streptophyta; Magnoliopsida; Zingiberales; Marantaceae. The record is from RNAcentral.